RNAcentral lists this ribosomal RNA (797 nucleotides) under uncultured bacterium. RNAcentral's name for it is "bacterial SSU rRNA". It matches the Rfam family "Bacterial small subunit ribosomal RNA", at positions 8 to 796 of the family's 1533-position model. The record is from RNAcentral.
AGAGUUUGAUCAUGGCUCAGAUUGAACGCUGGCGGCAUGCUUUACACAUGCAAGUCGAGCGGCAGCGCGGGGGCAACCCUGGCGGCGAGCGGCGAACGGGUGAGUAAUACAUCGGAACGUGUCCCGUAGUGGGGGAUAGCUCGGCGAAAGCCGGAUUAAUACCGCAUAUGCUCUACGGAGGAAAGUGGGGGAUCCGCAAGGACCUCACGCUAUGGGAGCGGCCGAUGUCCGAUUAGCUUGUUGGUGAGGUAAAGGCUUACCAAGGCGACGAUCGGUAGCUGGUCUGAGAGGAUGAUCAGCCACACUGGGACUGAGACACGGCCCAGACUCCUACGGGAGGCAGCAGUGGGGAAUUUUGGACAAUGGGGGGAAACCCUGAUCCAGCCAUGCCGCGUGCGGGAAGAAGGCCUUCGGGGUUGUAAACCGCUUUUGUCCGGGAAGAAAUGACAUUCCCUAAUACGGGGUGUUCUUGACGGUACUGGAAGAAUAAGCACCGGCUAACUACGUGCCAGCAGCCGCGGUAAUACGUAGGGUGCGAGCGUUAAUCGGAAUUACUGGGCGUAAAGCGUGCGCAGGUGGUUCGUCAAGUCUGAUGUGAAAGCCCCGGGCUCAACCUGGGAAUGGCAUUGGAAACUAGCGAGCUUGAGUGUGGCAGAGGGGGGUGGAAUUCCACGUGUAGCAGUGAAAUGCGUAGAGAUGUGGAGGAACACCGAUGGCGAAGGCAGCCCCCUGGGCUAACACUGACGCUCAUGCACGAAAGCGUGGGGAGCAAACAGGAUUAGAUACCCUAGUAGUCC